Molecule: ribosomal RNA, 522 nt
Filed under: uncultured Bifidobacterium sp.
Lineage: Bacteria; Bacillati; Actinomycetota; Actinomycetes; Bifidobacteriales; Bifidobacteriaceae
Description: bacterial SSU rRNA
Rfam family: Bacterial small subunit ribosomal RNA
Source: RNAcentral
ACUAGUGAUUGGGUGGUAAUGCCGGAUGCUCCAGUUGAUCGCAUGGUCUUCUGGGAAACGUUUCGCGGUAUGGGAUGGGGUCGCGUCCUAUCAGCUUGACGGCGGGGUAACGGCCCACCGUGGCUUCGACGGGUAGCCGGCCUGAGAGGGCGACCGGCCACAUUGGGACUGAGAUACGGCCCAGACUCUACGGGAGGCAGCAGUGGGGAAUAUUGCACAAUGGGCGCAAGCCUGAUGCACGACGCCGCGUGAGGGAUGGAGGCUUCGGGUUGUAAACCUCUUUUAUCGGGGAGCAAGCGAGAGUGAGUUUACCCGUUGAAUAAGCACCGGCUAACUACGUGCCAGCAGCCGCGGUAAUACGUAGGGUGCAAGCGUUAUCCGGAAUUAUUGGGCGUAAAGGGCUCGUAGGCGGUUCGUCGCGUCCGGUGUGAAAGUCCAUCGCUUAACGGUGGAUCGCGCCGGGUACGGGCGGGCUUGAGUCGGUAGGGGAGACUGGAGUCCCGGUGUACGGUGGAAUCGAAU